Molecule: ribosomal RNA, 253 nt
Filed under: uncultured bacterium
Lineage: Bacteria
Description: partial 16S ribosomal RNA
Rfam family: Bacterial small subunit ribosomal RNA
Source: RNAcentral
GACGUAGGGCGCGAGCGUUGUCCGGAUUUAUUGGGCGUAAAGAGCUCGUAGGCGGCUUGUUGCGUCGACCGUGAAAACCCGGGGCUCAACUUCGGGCUUGCGGUCGAUACGGGCGGGCUAGAGUUCGGUAGGGGAGACUGGAAUUCCCGGUGUAGCGGUGAAAUGCGUAGAGAUCGGGAGGAACACCAGAGGCGAAGGCGGCGACCUGGACAGUUACUGACACUCAACUACGAAAGCGUGGGGAGCAAACAGG